CGGACGGGUGAGUAACGCGUGAGAAUUUGCUUCAGGUCGGGGACAACAGUUGGAAACGACUGGUAAUACCGGAUGUGCCGGAAGGUGAAAGAUUUAUCGCCUGAAGAUAAGCUCGCGUCUGAUUAGCUAGUUGGUGGUGUAAGGGACUACCAAGGCGACGAUCAGUAGCUGGUCUGAGAGGAUGAUCAUCCACACCGGGACUGAGACACGGCCCAGACUCCUACGGGAGGCAGCAGCGGGGAAUUUUCCGCAAUGGGCGAAAGCCUGACGGAGCAAUACCGCGUGAGGGAGGAAGGCUCCUGGGUCGUAAACCUCUUUUCUCAAGGAAGAAUGCAAUGACGGUACUUGAGGAAUAAGCAUCGGCUAACUCCGUGCCAGCAGCCGCGGUAAUACGGAGGAUGCAAGCGUUAUCCGGAAUGAUUGGGCGUAAAGGGUCUGUAGGUGGUACUGAAAGUCUGCUGUUAAAGAGCAAGGCUCAACCUUGUAAGAGCAGUGGAAACUACCGAUCUUGAGUGCGGUAGGGGCAAAAGGAAUUCCUGGUGUAGCGGUGAAAUGCGUAGAUAUCAGGAAGAACACCGGUGGCGAAAGCGUUUCGCUGACCGCAACUGACACUGAG
Molecule: ribosomal RNA, 616 nt
Filed under: Sphaerospermopsis sp. LEGE 02266
Lineage: Bacteria; Bacillati; Cyanobacteriota; Cyanophyceae; Nostocales; Aphanizomenonaceae
Description: bacterial SSU rRNA
Rfam family: Bacterial small subunit ribosomal RNA
Source: RNAcentral